RNAcentral lists this ribosomal RNA (649 nucleotides) under uncultured bacterium. Its description in RNAcentral is "bacterial SSU rRNA". It matches the Rfam family "Bacterial small subunit ribosomal RNA", at positions 43 to 682 of the family's 1533-position model. The record is from RNAcentral.
CAGGCCUAACACAUGCAAGUCGGGCGGUAGCAGGAAGUGCUUGCACUUUGCUGACGAGCGGCGGACGGGUGCGUAACACGUAGGAAUCUGCCUGGUAGUGGGGGAUAGCCCGGAGAAAUCCGGAUUAAUACCGCAUACGCCCUAAGGGGGAAAGGAGGGGACUCUUCGGAGCCUUUCGCUAUCAGAUGAGCCUGCGUCGGAUUAGCUGGUUGGUGGGUAAAGGCCUACCAAGGCGACGAUCCGUAGCUGGUCUGAGAGGAUGAUCAGCCACACUGGGACUGAGACACGGCCCAGACUCCUACGGGAGGCAGCAGUGGGGAAUAUUGCACAAUGGGCGAAAGCCUGAUGCAGCCAUGCCGCGUGUGUGAAGAAGGCUCUAGGGUUGUAAAGCACUUUCAGCGAGGAGGAAAGGUUAAAGGUUAAUACCCUUUAGCUGUGACGUUACUCGCAGAAGAAGCACCGGCUAACUCCGUGCCAGCAGCCGCGGUAAUACGGAGGGUGCGAGCGUUAAUCGGAAUUACUGGGCGUAAAGCGUGCGUAGGCGGCCUUUUAAGUUGGAUGUGAAAGCCCCGGGCUCAACCCGGGAACUGCACCCAAAACUGGAAGGCUCGAGUGCGGGAGAGGAGUGUGGAAUUUCCUGUGUAGCGGU